GAACGCACCGGUGAGGACGGAUUGCUCUGAGUUGGUUUUCGGCGGUGACUCAUCUGGAGACGUCUAUGACCUUGUCCUCCGCCACCCCCAGGGCUCUGGGAAAACCCCGUGUGCUGCUUCCAGACGGGAGGGCGAGAGGUUCUCGGUGCACAGAGUAAAAGAUCGCACUGGUCUGGAGUUUCCAAUCCCUACCUGGGGUGGCCUCGCCAUCCGUGGCGGGGGCGGGGGGAGCAGCGCAUCUUCCGGAAGGUUCUGCCUCCCAGCUGGAACAUGGUGGUGCCUUUGGAGGAGAGAAAGAACUGCCCUUUCUGGCUCCAAGAAUUCUUGGCUUGGAAAGGAGAUCUUGGGGAAGCUGUCCUUCCCCAGAGAUGCCUCGGUGACACUGUUUAAUUCCCCAGUUAGGUCCCAGAGGUAACUAUUAAUAAAACCGUUUGUGAGGGGGAAGCGAUCACUACAGAGGAAGAAAGCAGGCCUCUGAGGGAAGCCAGCGCUCUGAUGCAGGUGUGACCCCUGGCCUCCGUGUCGGCACUUCCUGCCCUGGUGACUCCCCCACAGUCGACACAAGUAACAAAUAAGCAGCUGUCAGUCUGGGAGGUUAAACCGCGUGGAACAGGACAUUCCGGUCCGGGAGCACCGGCGCUGUCAGCCAAGGCGGACUUUAAUCUGGGGAUCGUUGUGUCCGGAGAUGCAAAGGCCACGAGGCUCUUCCCUAAUCUGAGGAUGUGUUGGGGUGGACGGCGGGGAACACAGGCCACCUACCUAUCCUGAAAACCUCCCAGUGUCUUGGCUUUGCUGGUUCGUUCCUCCGAGGGACUACAGGUCUGGGACACAGGAGCUAGCAGACACUCACAGGAGAUCGAUGCAGUGUGUUGGUCGGCUUGACUCCAAAAGAAAUAGCUUCGGAAAGUGCCAAACGCAAAUUUGUUCUAUACCUAGAACACUUGGUUCAAAGCAAUACCAGAAGGAAGGUCCAGAUUUUACCUUAUAUUUUUACCAAAGGGUUUGGUUAUCUGAGAUCUUUUAGGUUUCUCUGUCCACCCAACUCUGGCUCUAUACUUAUAUGCAUGUGUUUCUGUGCGGAAGGUGAGCUGAAUCUUUGGUCGGGAUCGUAAAUUAGGUUUAAUGUAUAUUUUUAUGUGUAUUUUCCAUUUGUUACUUAUUCUAUUUUAAGGAGAAUAUUCAAGGGCUUGCUGAAGUCAAAGAUACAGCAUAGAAGUCCCUCUGGUAAGACAGGAUACCUGUGAUUUGGACAGACUUCCCUUAAAAAGAUUUACGAACUCUGUUUCAGAAAUGUGGUGAUUUUCACAGAGAGGAAACUAAACUCUCGGCCCGCACCACUAUAAUAAAAUGGACUCUUGAGGAACCACAAGCUCUCUUUUGAAAAUCUUCUGAUAAACCUAUCAAAACCGUGCCAGAUUUGGCAAAAUCCCAAACACAAACUUGUCUUCCUUUUCAGACCCCCUUUC
Molecule: long non-coding RNA, 1466 nt
Organism: Hyaena hyaena (striped hyena)
Lineage: Eukaryota; Metazoa; Chordata; Mammalia; Carnivora; Hyaenidae
Exons: 3
Source: RefSeq, a predicted model, not a curated record